This 465-nucleotide ribosomal RNA is filed under the name uncultured bacterium. RNAcentral's name for it is "partial 16S ribosomal RNA". It matches the Rfam family "Bacterial small subunit ribosomal RNA", at positions 338 to 795 of the family's 1533-position model. The record is from RNAcentral.
CCUACGGGAGGCAGCAGUGGGGAAUAUUGCGCAAUGGGCGAAAGCCUGACGCAGCGACGCCGCGUGAGGGAUGAAGGUCUUCGGAUCGUAAACCUCUGUCAGUAGGGAAGAACGGUCACUGUGCUAAUCAGCAGUGAAUUGACGGUACCUGCAAAGGAAGCACCGGCUAACUCCGUGCCAGCAGCUGCGGUAAUACGGAGGGUGCGAGCGUUAAUCGGAAUUACUGGGCGUAAAGCGCUCGUAGGCGGUAUGUCAAGUCAAGGGUGAAAUCCCCGCGCUCAACGUGGGAACUGCCUUUGAAACUGGCAAACUGGAGUGUGUGAGAAGAUAGUGGAAUUCCAGGUGUAGGAGUGAAAUGCGUAGAUAUCUGGAGGAACUUCAGUGGCGAAGGCGACUAUCUGGCACAUAACUGACGCUGAGGAGCGAAAGCGUGGGUAGCAAACAGGAUUAGAUACCCCAGUAGUC